This 1660-nucleotide ribosomal RNA is filed under the name Brachygobius doriae. RNAcentral's name for it is "16S ribosomal RNA". It matches the Rfam family "Bacterial large subunit ribosomal RNA". The record is from RNAcentral. Lineage: Eukaryota; Metazoa; Chordata; Actinopteri; Gobiiformes; Gobiidae.
AAUCUAAACAGCUAGCCUAAACAACAACAUCAACAAACAGCAUAAAUAAACCCAAACACCCUAAAAAAAGUAAACAAAACAUUUUUCCCUCAAAGUAUGGGAGACAAAAAAGAGACUACUGAGCCAUAAAAAGUACCGCAAGGGAAAGCUGAAAGAGAAAUGAAAAAACCCAGUAAAGAAAAAAAAAGCAAAGAUUAUACCUUGUACCUUUUGCAUCAUGACUUAGCCAGCACCUUUCAGGCAAAGAGCCCUUUAGUCUGAGCCCCCGAAACUAGACGAGCUACUUCAAGACAGCCCAUGGGGCCAACCCAUCUCUGUGGCAAAAGAGUGGGAAGAUCUUCAAGUAGUGGUGAUAAGCCUACCGAGCCUAGUGAUAGCUGGUUGCCUAUAAAAAGAAUAGAAGUUCUGCCUUUGCCUUUCUUUCCUCUCUAAAAGAAAACUAAAAUGGGACCUAAAGAUAAAAGCAAAGAGUUAGUCAAGAGAGGUACAGCUCUCUUGAAAAAAAUACAAUUUUUUAGAAGGCUAAAGAUUCUAUAAAAUAAAACCUUAUACUUCAGUGGGCCUAAAAGCAGCCACCUUAAAAAAAAGCGUUAAAGCUUAAGUAUCAAAAACCUUAAAUAACAAUAAAAAAUCUUAAACCCCUAAAAAUAAUAGGCCCUUCCAUGCAACCAUAGAAGAGAUAAUGCUAAAAUGAGUAAUAAGAGGACCCUGAUCCUCUCCCCCUCCCUUGUGUAUAUCAGAACGAACCCCCUCUGAAAAUUAACGUCCCCAAAAAGAGAGUAAUGAACAACCCCUAAAAAUAAACAAGAAAACCACCCAAAAAUUAACGUUAACCCCACACAGGAAAGAGUAAAGGAAAGACCAAAAGGAAAAGAAGGAACUCGGCAAACCCAGGCCUCGCCUGUUUACCAAAAACAUCGCCUCUUGCCCUCCCCAUAUAAGAGGUCCUGCCUGCCCUGUGAUAUAAUUUAACGGCCGCGGUAUUUUGACCGUGCAAAGGUAGCGUAAUCACUUGUCUUUUAAAUGAAGACCCGUAUGAAUGGCAAAACGAGGGCCAAGCUGUCUCCUUUUCCAAGUCAAUGAAAUUGAUCUCCCUGUGCAGAAGCAGGGAUAACCACAUAAGACGAGAAGACCCCAUGGAGCUUAAGACAAACAGCAGCUUAUGUAAAACAUCUUAAUUACAAGAACUAACAAAGUAAAACCUGCUUUUAGUCUUUGGUUGGGGCGACCGUGGAGAAACAAAAAUCCCCCAUGUGGAAAAAUAGCUAUACUAUUCUAAAAUAGAGUCACCUCUCUAAUUUUCAGAACAUCUGACCAAGAAGAUCCGGCAAAGCCGAUCAACGGACAAAGUUACCCUGGGGAUAACAGCGCAAUCCUCUUUUAGAGCCCAUAUCGACAAGAGGGUUUACGACCUCGAUGUUGGAUCAGGACAUCCUAAUGGUGCAGCCGCUAUUAAGGGUUUGUUUGUUCAACAAUUAAAGUCCUACGUGAUCUGAGUUCAGACCGGAGAAAUCCAGGUCAGUUUCUAUCUAUGAACAUUCUUUUCCAGUACGAAAGGACCAAAAAGAAGAGGCCAAUACUUAAAGCAAGCCUCCCCCUUAACUAUUGUAAUCAACUAAAUAGAUAAAAGGGCUAAAAUAAUAGUCUAAGAGUAAGACAA